GUAUGUUAUGGCCUGUGAGCGGCGGACCUGAGGGCAACGAGCACGAGGGAGAGAGGUGCCGGAGGCGGACGAGGAGAGGGAGUCCUCCGGAAAGAUUUGCAGAGGACAGAAUCAUGGACAAACUGAGGUCUAUAAGCGGACCUACGAUUGAUCUACCUCCUCAACAAGAAAAAGACAAGAAGUUUGGUGGGAACUGCAGGCUCUAUGUUGGUAAUGCUGGCACCAACUUCACAGACAAAGAUCUCGUGGAAAUGUUCAAACCUUACGGAGAAACUAGCGACCAUUUUACAGUGCAGAAAAGAACUUCGGAUUUAUCAAGAUGGAUUUCCGUAGCAAUGCUGAACGAGCUAAGAGGGAACUAGAUGGCCAAAUGCGAAAAGGCAAACCCUUGAAAGUGCGAUUUGCUCCACCUGGAACUAUCCUCAAAGUGAAGAACUUAUCAGACCAGGUUUCUAAUGAGCUGUUGAGCUAGCGUUUAGCGUUUUCGGCGAAGUAAGUCACCUCGUUUUCUCUGUUUCUACACCUGGAUUUCACAUGAAUAUCUCUGUGUGAGGAUAUGCAUAGG
This 565-nucleotide long non-coding RNA is filed under the name Bemisia tabaci. RNAcentral describes it as "lncRNA ENSSSA2NGG004210". Lineage: Eukaryota; Metazoa; Arthropoda; Insecta; Hemiptera; Aleyrodidae. The record is from RNAcentral.